GUCCACGCCCUAAACGAUGUCGACUGGUUGUUGGGGGUUUGACACUCUCAGUAACGAAGCUAACGCGUGAAGUCGACCGCCUGGGGAGUACGGCCGCAAGGUUAAAACUCAAAGGAAUUGACGGGGACCCGCACAAGCGGUGGAUUAUGUGGAUUAAUUCGAUGCAACGCGAAAAACCUUACCUACCCUUGACAUGUCCGAGAGGCUCCAGAGAUGGGGCUGUGCCCGAAAGGGAAUCGGAACACAGGUGCUGCAUGGCUGUCGU
This 265-nucleotide ribosomal RNA is filed under the name uncultured bacterium. RNAcentral describes it as "partial 16S ribosomal RNA". It matches the Rfam family "Bacterial small subunit ribosomal RNA", at positions 793 to 1055 of the family's 1533-position model. The record is from RNAcentral.